GUGAGGAAUCUUGCGCAAUGGGGGCAACCCUGACGCAGCAACGCCGCGUGAGUGAAGAAGGCCUUCGGGUCGUAAAGCUCUGUCAAGUGGGAAGAAUAGCCUUAGGGUUAAUAGCCUUAGGGUAUGACUGUACCACUGGAGGAAGCACCGGCUAACUCCGUGCCAGCAGCCGCGGUAAUACGGAGGGUGCAAGCGUUAUUCGGAAUUAUUGGGCGUAAAGGGCGUGUAGGCGGCCAGAUAAGUCAGAGGUGAAAGCCCGGGGCUCAACCCCGGAAGUGCCUUUGAUACUGUUUGGCUUGAGUGCGGGAGAGGAAAGCGGAAUUCCCAGUGUAGAGGUGAAAUUCGUAGAUAUUGGGAGGAACACCGGUGGCGAAGGCGGCUUUCUGGACCGACACUGACGCUGAGGCGCGAAAGCGUGGGGAGCAAACAGGAUUAGAUACCCGAGUAGUCC
This 451-nucleotide ribosomal RNA is filed under the name uncultured bacterium. RNAcentral's name for it is "bacterial SSU rRNA". It matches the Rfam family "Bacterial small subunit ribosomal RNA", at positions 354 to 796 of the family's 1533-position model. The record is from RNAcentral.